RNAcentral lists this ribosomal RNA (492 nucleotides) under uncultured bacterium. RNAcentral's name for it is "partial 16S ribosomal RNA". It matches the Rfam family "Bacterial small subunit ribosomal RNA", at positions 29 to 507 of the family's 1533-position model. The record is from RNAcentral.
AGUGAACGCUGGCGGUAGGCCUAACACAUGCAAGUCGAACGGCGGCACAGUAAGAGCUUGCUCUUACGGGUGGCGAGUGGCGGACGGGUGAGGAAUACAUCGGAAUCUACUUUUUCGUGGGGGAUAACGUAGGGAAACUUACGCUAAUACCGCAUACGACCUACGGGUGAAAGCAGGGGAUCUUCGGACCUUGCGCGAUUGAAUGAGCCGAUGUCGGAUUAGCUAGUUGGCGGGGUAAAGGCCCACCAAGGCGACGAUCCGUAGCUGGUCUGAGAGGAUGUUCAGCCACACUGGAACUGAGACACGGUCCAGACUCCUACGGGAGGCAGCAGUGGGGAAUAUUGGACAAUGGGCGCAAGCCUGAUCCAGCCAUACCGCGUGGGUGAAGAAGGCCUUCGGGUUGUAAAGCCCUUUUGUUGGGAAAGAAAAGCAGCAGGUUAAUACCCCGCUGUUCUGACGGUACCCAAAGAAUAAGCACCGGCUAACUUCGUG